GCGGGUGUAGUUUAAUGGUAGAACUUCAGCCUUCCAAGCUGAUCGCAGGGGUUCGAUUCCCCUCACCCGCUCCA
RNAcentral lists this transfer RNA (74 nucleotides) under Paenibacillus psychroresistens. RNAcentral describes it as "tRNA-Gly". It matches the Rfam family "tRNA". Rfam says of the family: Transfer RNA (tRNA) molecules are approximately 80 nucleotides in length. Their secondary structure includes four short double-helical elements and three loops (D, anti-codon, and T loops). The record is from RNAcentral. RNAcentral also lists the same sequence under 1 other name. Lineage: Bacteria; Bacillati; Bacillota; Bacilli; Caryophanales; Paenibacillaceae.